This 345-nucleotide long non-coding RNA is filed under the name Podarcis muralis (Common wall lizard). RNAcentral describes it as "lncRNA (ENSPMRG00000008149.1)". The record is from RNAcentral. Lineage: Eukaryota; Metazoa; Chordata; Lepidosauria; Squamata; Lacertidae.
AUGCAGAUGGAAGAUGUUGAAGAACAUGAAUUUGGAGAACAUGUUAAAGCCAUGGAACUGCCUUCAAAUAGGAAAAGUGUAGAAUGCAGUAAACCUAGUCUAAACUCCGGACACAGAGAUAGUUCUGAAAAGUUUCCUGCUGAAAUGGUAGUUUACACAUCUGAAGUAUGCAGUAGAACAACAGAUUAUCAACACGCUUCUUCAGAUGCCCUAGGUUGUCAUGACUGUAGUGAGGAAGAUGGAAUAUCUGUAAAGACGAAAACAGUCAGCAGCAGCAGAAAUGUAAGUAGAGGACUGAAAAUCAGAAUCCAUGUAUUCUGGCUCAAGAUACUGAGUUUGACCUAA